CUCGUUAUCCCCACGUCGAUAACGGCAGCUCCUUCUUUGAUCAUGUCGGCUGUGAUCAGGCUCACACUUGGCUUCUGCUGCCAAACAAACACCCCAAAAAUCAGCUCAACUCCUCCAAGCCUGGAAAAGAACAUAACCCCAAGGGAUUCCUCGGCCCUGCAGCUGUCCCACAGGAUUUUGGGUGUCUCUAGGUAUAACCCUGACCCUGGAGCUCUGGGGACAGUUGCCAUAGGUAGAACCACCACAAGAGCUGCUCCAGACCCAGGACAGCCCCAAGAUACC
This 282-nucleotide long non-coding RNA is filed under the name Columba livia (rock pigeon). RNAcentral's name for it is "partial uncharacterized LOC102087404". The record is from RNAcentral. Lineage: Eukaryota; Metazoa; Chordata; Aves; Columbiformes; Columbidae.